RNAcentral lists this ribosomal RNA (447 nucleotides) under uncultured bacterium. Its description in RNAcentral is "partial 16S ribosomal RNA". It matches the Rfam family "Bacterial small subunit ribosomal RNA", at positions 30 to 523 of the family's 1533-position model. The record is from RNAcentral.
AUUGAACGUUGGCGGAAUGCUUUACACAUGCAAGUCGAACGCCGUAGCAAUACGGAGUGGCAGACGGGUGAGUAACGCGUGGGAACGUGCCUUUCGGUUCGGAACAACUGAGGGAAACUUCAGCUAAAACCGGAUACGCCCUUCGGGGGAAAGUUUACGCCGAAAGAUCGGCCCGCGUUAGAUUAGCUAGUUGGUGGGGUAAUGGCCUACCAAGGCGACGAUCUAUAGCUGUUCUGAGAGGAAGAUCAGCCACACUGGGACUGAGACACGGCCCCGACUCCUACGGGAGGCAGCAGUGGGGAAUAUUGGACAAUGGGCGCAAGCCUGAUCCAGCUAUGCCGCGUGGAUGAAGAAGGCCUUAGGGUUGUAAAGUCCUUUCGUUGGUGAAGAUAAUGACGGUAACCAAAGAAGAAGCCCCGGCUAAUUUCGUGCCAGCCGCCGCGGUAA